AUUUUUAAAGCAUUUACUACACCUCAAGAGAUCUACCCCAAGCAUGAUUGUGUACGGUGAAACUGGACGUUACCCAUUGGAAAUAAGCAUUAAAUGCCGAAUGAUAACAUAUUGGUGCAGGCUGCUUAUAGAUGAAAACAAGUUAUCAUCAAUAUUAUACAAAUUUGUAUAUUCCCGAUAUCACACAAACAAUGAUGAUAUUUUAUGGAUAAAGAACAUUAAAAAUAUAUUGGACAAUGCCGGAUUUUCAAACUUAUUUUAUGUGCAAAAUACAGACCUCACCAAAUGGUUACCAAAAAGUAUCAAACUUAGAUUAAUUGACCAGUUUAAACAAAUUUGGAACUCAGCUAUUCAGAACACAUCAAAAUGCAUUACAUAUAGGCUCUUUAAGGAACAUUUUGAAUUUGAGAAUUAUUUCAACAUCAUAAAUGACCGAGAUAUAUAUACACUUUGUAAAUUCCGAACAUCGAAUCAUUCACUGCCAAUAGAAAAGGGGAGAUGGUAUAACAUUGAAAGAAGUGAUAGAAAAUGUUCAAUAUGUACAAAAAGAGAUAUCGGAGACGAAUACCACUAUAUUUUUGUUUGCCCGGCUUUACAAGAUGAAAGAAGAAGAUUUAUUCCAAAUGGACUAAUACCAAGACAUAACAUUUUUACAUUCAACAAACUGUUUAAUUAAAAAAAACCAAAGACACUAAGAAACCUCUGCAAUUUUAUAAGAUGUAUUAAUAGUAAGCUCACUCCUUCUUAACAACC
RNAcentral lists this long non-coding RNA (753 nucleotides) under Mytilus galloprovincialis (Mediterranean mussel). Lineage: Eukaryota; Metazoa; Mollusca; Bivalvia; Mytilida; Mytilidae. The record is from RNAcentral.